Transfer RNA from Candidatus Omnitrophus sp., 74 nucleotides. It matches the Rfam family "tRNA". Rfam says of the family: Transfer RNA (tRNA) molecules are approximately 80 nucleotides in length. Their secondary structure includes four short double-helical elements and three loops (D, anti-codon, and T loops). The record is from Rfam. Lineage: Bacteria; Pseudomonadati; Candidatus Omnitrophota.
GUGAGCGUAGCUCAGUUGGAUAGAGCGCCUGACUGUGGCUCAGGCGGCCGGGGGUUCAAAUCCCCUCGCUCACC